RNAcentral lists this long non-coding RNA (3096 nucleotides) under Fukomys damarensis (Damara mole-rat). Its description in RNAcentral is "lncRNA (ENSFDAG00000032380.1)". The record is from RNAcentral. Lineage: Eukaryota; Metazoa; Chordata; Mammalia; Rodentia; Bathyergidae.
CUUCCUUCGUAGACUCGCACCAGCAACUGCAGUGAAUUUUUUGACCUUCAGAUUUGGACAGGUGCUGCAUCCUUGACUCCUCUUGUUCUUCAAAGAAAUACCUAGCGUGGAGCCUGGUGCAUGGCUCCUGCUGAAACCACUGUGUCCUGCUACCUCACUGCUUUCUCGAACAUUGAACCAGCCUGUCUCAGAGGAGGUGGUAGAAGAGAGAAGACCGAACUGAGGAAAGUUUCUCAGACAGUUCUCGUGAAUCACCCAAGUCCCACAGCUUCAGAGAAACAGAGUCCUCAGGCACUUCUCCACGUGCUCUCCACAAGGACAAGUGAGGGAGAGUGCAGAAGGUUCCCCUGGAUCUGCAGACUCCCUGGCCCUUCCUCACAGCACUGGAGAUGCGAGAGACGAGAUCCGGGCAACGUGGUGUUGCACUGUGAGCAUGGGAUGGGAGCCAAGAGUUUCUAGUUCCAGCUCCAUGCCAGAUUUACCAGGACCCUAAUGCCAUCUCCAGCCUCUGCCUCACUUGGGAGCCCCAGUUCAACCCUCUUCUCUGGUGUGUGUCCUUCUCCAUUAGAAUCACCAGAAGAGAAAUCCCAGGGCUGGCAAAGACUCAAGCCCUGGAGUCCUCAGCAGCAGCAUCCGCACGAGAGCCUCUCCUGCCAGGCUGAGCACAAAGGAAGGCAUUAUCCUGAGAGGAGAAGAGGAGUCACUGAGGACCACCUGCUCAGGCAAUUCUGUGAUAAAAGGAAGUGAGACUGAAAAUUGGACAAUUGUUACUAAGUAGCUGAGGACCCAGCUGAGUGGGGUUUUCUUUAAUAAGGAUAAUAGAAGCCAGCUUUAAAGGCAGAUGGAGAUUUUCCAGAACCUAAGGGUUUGCAAAGAACAACAGGAGAGGGAGCCAGGCUCAGGGAAGGACAUGUCUUCACAUCCUUGUGACAAGCAAGGAGUGGAGUUCUUUUCUUACAGGCUUUAGAAGCACUUUACAUGUGUCGUCAUUUACAUCUUUUCCUCCUGUUAAAGGCACACUCUUCGUGAGCACUUAAAAGGAAGCAAUCUCUAAGACUUGGUGAGGGCUCCUAGGAAUUCCUACAAAGGACUGAACAUUUCAUUGCUUCCUAAGCUGCAGAGAAAGUAAAUCGUAACCAAGUCCUUAUUUCCAUGGAAAAGAUGCGUGAAAAGCUGAUUUAGAACUAGUUAGUACAUGGAAUUAAUUCAUUGCACGUUACCAAGUGUCAAGUACCAUACUGGGUUUUCCAUGUUUUGUGUCAAUGAAUCACGUUAUUGCCUGUUUACAGAUGAAGAAAAUAGCUCUCAGAGAUGGGUGGUUUAUUUGAGCCCCGGGUAGCCUAGGAGUGAGUGUCAGCCGCACUGUAGUCCUGUCUCCAGGCUGAGAUGGAGCACGUCCACUCCACCAGGCCUGGAAAGAUACCAAAACAUGCUCCUAGCCACAGUCGUGCUGUGCUGAAUACCACAUAUGCACAUGCUGUAGGUGUACACAAAGCACACAACCCUACCAGUACAAACAUGCCUCUGUACUAGGGCCACCUGCAGGAGGUCUUGCCUAUUUUCACUUCCUGUCUUCAUCUGAUGGAGAGAGUACUUCUCAUUCUGCUGCUGGAGACUCCGGAAAAGGCAAGGACCCUCUGGGAAAGCACUCUAAAGUCCAGCGAAUGAGCUGUCUCAAGGGUGUGGAUGUAGAGAAGCCGCCGGAAAGAGCCCCUAAAUCCACAGCCAGAUUCACACUCAUUUGCCCAGUUUUGCUUGGGUCAACAGUAUGACCUCAGUGAGUCGCUGAACUUCUCUACUCCCCAGGGCCACCUCUGUUAAGAUGGAGAUAGACACUCCCAUUCCAUGGUGUUGCUCUGAGGAGUGGCAGGUCCUGAGCAGAGUUGGUACAGCAUGCCUGUGCUGCCCAGCAGUCGACCCCAAACCAUUCUGCCACAUUCCCAUGCUGCCACCUUCUGAUGCCAAAGCCAUCACCGCACCCUGUCAACAGCCCCGAGGGAAAAGAAGGUGGCAGAGAGUCGGGGGGUGGGGAUGGGGGGAGGGUUAAGACCCUCAGCUGCUCCAGAGAGGCAGGGCUGACAAGGCGAGGAUUGUUUUUCUCCCCUGGUGUGAAGCAUGUUGACUUGCUGUUGAUAGAUUGUGGGAUGAUAUUAAUUAAAAUUCAGGCAGGUGUGAGGGCGCCUCUUAGAGCAGCGCUCUCCCAGGAGGAAGGGAAGGCAUGGGGCUCUGUUUUGUAGCCCUAAGUGGGAAAAGAGUGUCCUCUUACCCUCUCCCCCUCCUUCCGGGAGCAGGUGUGACUUGGAGAAAAGGGUCUGGAUUUCCUCUUCACUGGCGCAGGCAGGUCAUAGGCACACUGGGCUCCAAGUAGAAGCACAGUGAGGUCCUCCCAUCCCUAUACAUGAGAUAACAGGAGUGGUAGAGCCUCUGCGAUAUUUCCUUGAGCCACAAGAUCUGCCUUUGGAGAGUGUGCUCAAGGGAGCACUUACCUUUUCUGCUUUCUUCUGCCAUCUGUCUUCAGGACACAGGACUGGAGUGCAGAGGGCUUUCUGCAAGGGAAAGUCGGAUGGUCUGAGGCAGAGCCGCAGGGAAAAGCUGACCCACAAACACCAUGAACAACAGCACGCGGUCUAUGCCCAGAGGCCCAGUGGCUGAAUUUUUGAAGUUGGAAGAAUUAAAGACUAAAGCAACAGUGGAGGAAAAACAAGAAAGCUGAGCACAGAGUCACUGCCGCACACAGCCAAGGGACAAGCCCCGUUUCAGCUUCACAACCAUAAAGCUUCAUCUGCAAGCCUUGCACUCCAGCCCUUUCUGAUCUCCAACUUCCUCCUUCUUGCGUCUUCCUAUAAGCAUAAGUGACUCCCAAGGACUCCUAGUUUCGAAGUGUUGGCGUUGGAAAUGGCAAGGAUUAUUGAAGAUCUCGGCAGUCCGGUGACGUGAUGAAAAUGGUAGAACUGAUAUUUAAACAGCCCAUCUGUCCAAACUGAACCUAGAGCCAUUCUGUUCCCUAAAAACGUAUUUGAACAGGAGUCGGGGAGAUGUCGAAGGGUGCCUACCUCCAUUACCGUAUCUCUACCGACCUCAUAAAGAAAACAGAGG